RNAcentral lists this long non-coding RNA (1357 nucleotides) under Mytilus galloprovincialis (Mediterranean mussel). Lineage: Eukaryota; Metazoa; Mollusca; Bivalvia; Mytilida; Mytilidae. The record is from RNAcentral.
CAGCAUUAUAUUUAUAUUCUUAUUUCUAUGUGUUGUAAGUAAAGUGUAUGAUCAACUUAAUUCACCUUUUAAAGCAAUUUCUGAUACUGAAAAUAAUGGUGAGUCCGAACAUAAACGUAACUAUGGAAAGUUGAUAAGAAGAUGGCGCCUUCCCAGUUGGACAGUUCUGUCCUUCACAUUUCGGAGUUUCUGAAAUAUAAACUAAAAAAAACUUUGUUAGUGAUUCUACCCUACUUCUUACUUUAUCUGAGUUUUGUAUUAAUUAGCAAUGUGCUACGUUUCAUAUAACAUGGUGGAAGCAAAUUAAAAUUACAGAACAGGUCAGUAUUUUUGUGAUUUUACUUUUAAUGAACUGAUUAUAGUGCCGUAAAAACAGGACAAACAAUGACCUAGAUCAAUGAUUAAACAAGUAGAAUGUGAACUAUUGGUAACUUUAAGUAUCCAAACAUUAAGUAUUCAGAACAGAAAGUUUUAGUAAAAUGAUCAUGCGCCUUCUCAAAAAUAUAUUCACAGUGUGUUGUACUAUUAUUGGGACAAAUCAUAUCAAAAUUAUAGAAAACUUCAUCAGCUCUAACUAUCUCAAAAUAUGGAAAAUUUUAUGUUACGGGGUUUUGAAAUCUUUCCGUCAGCUUUUGAAGGGCUAAUUAUCAACCUUUUCAGCUGUACUAAAUUUUGUGUCAUUUUUGGUCUUUUGUGGAUAGUUGUCUCAUUGGCAAUCAUACCACAUCUUCUUUUUUAUAAAUUCUUCUUUACUUUAAAAUUCAUGAUCCAGGGUAAUUUACUUCCCAUGCUUCCUUUUUGAGGCAUAAAACACGGAGAUAAUAUUUGGAAGAUUAUAACAUGCACACGUAUAAAUACUGCGUUUUUCAUCCUACGCAAUCAUAGGUUUGAACGUUGUUUUCAAUUUAGAUGUGUUUCUAUUAUUUUCGUUUAGGCUCGUAUUAUAUCUACCGUAUGGCUUAUAUUAUCAGUUAUCAUAUUUCGACUCAAAACAAAAUUCAAGAGUCUAUAUCCUAACUUGAGGUAAAUUAUAUGUCCUUCCAAAUACUUUUUCGAUCCUUAACUUCACUGAAGAGACAUUAAUUGUCGAAUUUCAGAUAUGGUGAAAAAAAGAAUUUUAAGCACCUCAUGUUUGUGGUUUACCAUCUUCGCCGCAAGAUUAUUGUUUGUAUUAUAUAAAUAUAAAGAUUCAUUUCGUUACAUCUUUUUGAUCAAUGUAUUUGGCAAUCGUUAAUGGCAGUCAACAGUAUCUAAGAUCAUCAGUUUUUCGACCUGUUAAUCAAUGUUUUUGGAGAUAAGUGUAUUUUUACUGCACUAGUACACAAUUUGUGUAGUGGCUCGCUGAGGACCACCUCCG